This 220-nucleotide ribosomal RNA is filed under the name Salmonella enterica subsp. enterica serovar Weltevreden. RNAcentral describes it as "partial 16S ribosomal RNA". It matches the Rfam family "Bacterial small subunit ribosomal RNA", at positions 1 to 217 of the family's 1533-position model. The record is from RNAcentral. RNAcentral also lists the same sequence under 1 other name. Lineage: Bacteria; Pseudomonadati; Pseudomonadota; Gammaproteobacteria; Enterobacterales; Enterobacteriaceae.
AAAUUGAAGAGUUUGAUCAUGGCUCAGAUUGAACGCUGGCGGCAGGCCUAACACAUGCAAGUCGAACGGUAACAGGAAGCAGCUUGCUGUUUUGCUGACGAGUGGCGGACGGGUGAGUAAUGUCUGGGAAACUGCCUGAUGGAGGGGGAUAACUACUGGAAACGGUGGCUAAUACCGCAUAACGUCGCAAGACCAAAGAGGGGGACCUUCGGGCCUCUUG